RNAcentral lists this non-coding RNA (30 nucleotides) under Rattus norvegicus (Norway rat). The record is from RNAcentral. Lineage: Eukaryota; Metazoa; Chordata; Mammalia; Rodentia; Muridae.
UAGUUUUCUAGAAGUGCCAAACUCUAUGGG